This is a long non-coding RNA of Halichondria panicea, 1665 nucleotides long. RefSeq lists it as uncharacterized. The record is from RefSeq and is a predicted model, not a curated record. Lineage: Eukaryota; Metazoa; Porifera; Demospongiae; Suberitida; Halichondriidae. The transcript has 8 exons.
GUGGAAGGUGAAGAAGACAGAAGAAAGAUCAUUGAGAGCAUCCAUGGGCAAGCUCAUCUAUAGGAAGAGACAAAACACUUUCUCAGCUAACUCAACGAUACUACUGGCCAAACAUGUACAAGACAGCAUGUGCCUACAUUGCUUCAUGUGACCACUGCCAGCGCCAAAACCAUAAGUUGCAUAAAACUAAUGCAACACUUCAUCCCAUUCCUGUUAAAGAAGAAGCCUGGUAUCAGGUUGGAAUGGAUUUAGUGGGUCCUCUGCCUGUAACUCCAGCAGGAAACAAGUUCUUGAUGACAAUUACAGAUUAUCUACUACACAAAGUGGGCUGUAGCUGCUGCUCUAAAAGACAAAACUGCAUUGUCAGUAGCCAACGUCUUAUACUCGGUAUUUUGCACAUACGGCUGCCCUACUGUUUUCCUCAGUGACCAAGGAAGAGAAUUUGUCAAUAAAGUUACUGAGGCACUCUUUAAAAGAACAAACACACAGCAUAGAAUCACUUCCGCCUAUCAUCCUCAAACUAAUGGCCUCACGGAGCGAUUUAAUCAGACAAUCUGUCGUUCUCUCAGCAAGUUAGUGAAUGAAGCACACAAUGAUUGGGAUACAAAGCUAGAAACUAUUCUGUUUGCAUACCGAGUGUCGAAACACCGAUCAACCGGCUAUUCGCCAUGCAUUCUUCAUGAUGUUUCGUCGUGAAGCUCGGCUGCCUAUAGAUUGAAGCAGAUGUAGAGCAAAACGAAACAGACACUGUUGUGACCAGUGAAGAUAUAGAUACAGAGACAAUUGCAGAUGCUUUUAUUGAGAAAAUGCUCAAGAGGCAAGAAGAUAUAAAGAGCAUAGCUGGUGAAAACAUAAAAAAAUCUCAAAAAAAGCAAAAGGAGUGCUAUGAUAAACGGCAUUCACCGGAGGAACUGCAACUUGGAAUCAAGGUUUUGGUUGAGAACACCCAACAAAAGGAGAGGAAAGGUGGAAAGCUCGAAAACAAGUAUAGUGGACCAUACAUUAUUAAGACCUCAGAUGGAAAGGGUGUCUAUACCCUUAAGGACUUGGAUGGGAAGGUGUUAAAAAAGAAAUGUAAUAUCAAACGUCUCAAGGUUUAUAUAGAUCCUUCUUCAUUGGUUGAACAAAAAGCUCUCAGUGGCCAAACUCCACCGGAUAAAUCCAAUGGCUCUACCCAUGCAACCAGAGAAAUCCAAUGGCCCCACCCCACCAGAAGAUCCAAAUGGCCCCACCCCACCAGAGAAAUCCGAUGGUUCCACCCCACCAGAAUAUCAAAAUGGCCCCACCACAUUGGAUGAUCCCAAUGUCCCUACUUCACCGGACGGGCUCAAUGACCAAAUGGAGGAUCUCAAUGGACCCACACUCCUGGAUAAUACGCCUGGCCUCUCUUCAGAAUACGUUUCCAGUGGGUUUGAUGAUCCUAUUCUGAUGGAAUGUCUGUUUGAUCCAAGCCUUUUGAGACUGUAUAUACAGAACAGGAGCUUCUACACAUCUGUACAGAAGUGAGGAGGAUGAUGAUUUUGAUUUAUCGUACCUCUUUCAAAACAAGCACGAGUAUGGCUUGAGCAAAGAUACUGAUGUGGCACUGUGGCUAGCUUACAAAGCAUACACCCAUCAACCAGACUUAGUUGAAGCGUUUGACUUCGUGGUCGUCAAUUCACUCCU